RNAcentral lists this small RNA (83 nucleotides) under Marmota monax (woodchuck). Lineage: Eukaryota; Metazoa; Chordata; Mammalia; Rodentia; Sciuridae. The record is from RNAcentral.
GCUGGGCAUGGUGGCGCAUGCCUGUAACCCCAGUGGCUGGGGAGGCUGAGGCAGGAGGAUCUCAAGUUCAAAGCCAGCCUCAG